CAUCAUUCCUGAUGGUCCUCUCAAUAAUGAAGACCGAGCAGAAGUGGAGAAGAUGCAGAUUUUCAGCUUCAAAAUCAACAAGCACAUGAUGAUCCUCAUACAGCAGGACUCAGAGCUUCAUACAGCAGAACUCAGUGAAGAAACUCAGACGGUCAUUCAGAGUCUUAGUGGACGACAUCAUUUCAUUAACCCAAACACACCAGUGUCCACAUUGAUGGAGAAGAUUGAUCAGAUGGUGGAAGAAAACAAAGGAGAGGUUUUCUCAGCAGAGACAUUUCUGGAGCCGCAGAUGGAGAAACACCUGAAAUAUGAUGAAAAACAUAGCGGAAUCAACUCAUUAAAGACAUUUCAGUCACAAGAUUCAAGAGAAAGACCUAAUGAAGUGAGAAUUGUUCUUCUGGGUAAAACUGGAGUUGGGAAGAGUGCAACUGGAAACACCAUCUUAGGAAGAAAAGCAUUUACAUCAGACAUCUCUCAAAGCUCUGUUACUAAAGAGUGUCAGAAGGUCACAGUUCAAGUCAAUAGUCAAAACAUCACUGUGAUCGACACUCCAGGACUGUUUGAUACUCAACUCAGUAAUGAAGAAAUCAAGAGAGAAAUCAGCAACUGCAUCUCCAUGAUCCUGCCUGGACCUCACGUGUU
This is a non-coding RNA of Danio rerio (zebrafish), 642 nucleotides long. Lineage: Eukaryota; Metazoa; Chordata; Actinopteri; Cypriniformes; Danionidae. The record is from Ensembl.